UACAGAGGGCCCAAGCGUUGUUCGGAAUUACUGGGCGUAAAGCGCGUGUAGGCUGCUCCGCAAGUCGGGUGUGAAAGCCCUGGGCUCAACCUAGGAAGUGCACUCGAAACUGCGGAGCUGGAGUCCUGGAGAGGAAGGCGGAAUUCUCGGUGUAGAGGUGAAAUUCGUAGAUAUCGAGAGGAACACCGGUGGCGAAGGCGGCCUUCUGGACAGUGACUGACGCUGAGACGCGAAAGCGUGGGGAGCGAACAGG
Molecule: ribosomal RNA, 253 nt
Filed under: uncultured bacterium
Lineage: Bacteria
Description: partial 16S ribosomal RNA
Rfam family: Bacterial small subunit ribosomal RNA
Source: RNAcentral